UUGUUUGGAGAGUUUGAUCCUGGCUCAGGACGAACGCUGGCGGCGUGCUUAACACAUGCAAGUCGAACGGAAAGGCCUCUUCGGAGGUACUCGAGUGGCGAACGGGUGAGUAACACGUGGGCAAUCUGCCCUGCACUUCGGGAUAAGCCCGGGAAACUGGGUCUAAUACCGAAUAGGACCUCGAGACGCAUGUCCCGAGGUGGAAAGCUUUUGCGGUGUGGGAUGGGCCCGCGGCCUAUCAGCUUGUUGGUGGGGUGAUGGCCUACCAAGGCGACGACGGGUAGCCGGCCUGAGAGGGUGUCCGGCCACACUGGGACUGAG
Molecule: ribosomal RNA, 321 nt
Filed under: Actinomycetota bacterium
Lineage: Bacteria; Bacillati; Actinomycetota
Description: bacterial SSU rRNA
Rfam family: Bacterial small subunit ribosomal RNA
Source: RNAcentral